This is a small nuclear RNA of Sorex fumeus (smoky shrew), 142 nucleotides long. RefSeq annotates it as U4 spliceosomal RNA. The transcript has a single exon. The record is from RefSeq and is a predicted model, not a curated record. NCBI's taxonomy places the organism in Eukaryota, Metazoa, Chordata, Mammalia, Eulipotyphla, Soricidae.
AGCUUUGCACAGUAGCAGUGUCGUAGUCAAUGAGGUUUAUCCAAGGCACGAUUAUGGCUAAUUAAAAACUUUUCCCAAUACCCUAUUGUGACGACUUGAGAGAAAAAUGAGUAGCAAAAAAUUUCAAAAGAAUUGGCAAAUA